AAUGAUAUAACUCAAUGAUAGAGUGUCACUUUAACAUGGUGAAAGUCAUCAGUUCAAGCCUGAUUAUUCCUU
RNAcentral lists this transfer RNA (72 nucleotides) under Solanum tuberosum (potato). It matches the Rfam family "tRNA". From Rfam's summary of the family: Transfer RNA (tRNA) molecules are approximately 80 nucleotides in length. Their secondary structure includes four short double-helical elements and three loops (D, anti-codon, and T loops). The record is from Rfam by way of RNAcentral. Lineage: Eukaryota; Viridiplantae; Streptophyta; Magnoliopsida; Solanales; Solanaceae.